Molecule: long non-coding RNA, 500 nt
Organism: Prionailurus viverrinus (fishing cat)
Lineage: Eukaryota; Metazoa; Chordata; Mammalia; Carnivora; Felidae
Exons: 3
Source: RefSeq, a predicted model, not a curated record
CGCUUCGGUUGAGCGGAAGCCCUGCUGCGGGUGAGCACGAGCCCUGCUUCGGUUGAGCGGGAGCCCUGCUGCGGGUGAGCACGAGCCCCGCUUCCAGUGAGCACGAGUCCUGCUUUGGUUGAGCUGGAGCCCUGCUUCUGAUGAUAAUCCAACAUUACCUGACUUAAGAAGAACCAGGAAUUCUGACCCAUUCUCCAAAGCAGAGUUUCUUCAAAAUUGCCUCUUCAUUGAUUGAGAUUUGCAGCUCAGCCUUUUCAAGAUCUUGGAUCUCCUUCUCAAGUCUGACAACAGAAAGAUGCACUUUUUACUGUUCAAGACAGUACAAACGUAGAGUUCCCAAAUAUGUCUUCUCCAUAUAUAAACUUUCCUUGGAAUAUUGCAUGUAAAUAUCCAGAUACCUUUUAAGAACAUAGCAUUACACUAAACAUCAGAUUUAGUACAUAGAAGGUACAUAACACAUGACUUUGAUUUAACAAUCUUCAAGUUAAAACAAACAUCUU